Harmonia axyridis is the source of this 496-nucleotide long non-coding RNA. RefSeq lists it as uncharacterized. NCBI's taxonomy places the organism in Eukaryota, Metazoa, Arthropoda, Insecta, Coleoptera, Coccinellidae. The record is from RefSeq and is a predicted model, not a curated record. The transcript has 3 exons.
GUGUAAGAUACUGAAUAUAUACUGCAAAAAGCAAAAUUUAAUUAGGAAUUAGGGAUAAAUGGAGUGUCUGAGUGGAAAAUUUCAAGAAUAUGGAAAUUGUUCAUGAACAAUUGGGAGUUACGUUAUCAUUUGCUGAUGAAAAUGCAAAUCAAUAGAUAUCUAUCGAUAUGAGUGAGAUACAAUUUUGGAAUAAUUCUUCAGGACCAGAUCUCAAAUGAUAUUGGACAAAUCAUUCAAGAACAGAAAAAUAGAUCAACACAGAGGAAUCAAACCGCCAAGCCCAACUUGUUUUUGGUAUCAGGGGAAAAUCUAUUAUAGCCGAAAAGUUUCCAAAUUGUUGUAUAUAGAUGUAGAUGAACUUUUAAGUAUGUAUCUCGAAUUCUCUCCACCUAAAUAAUUUAUUCUUUAGGAGAUAACUAUGUUCCUUUAAUCAUUUGUAUAGUACAAUGUUUUAUCCUGUAUUUGUAUAAAUGUAAUACAAUUUUUUUCCAAUGUA